UUAAUUGAAACCAAAAAGAGGUUAUUCAUUGUUAAUGAAAAAAUUGAAUUAUUUUCCAAUUAAA
RNAcentral lists this transfer RNA (64 nucleotides) under Acrocrypta assamensis. RNAcentral's name for it is "tRNA-Asn". The record is from RNAcentral. Lineage: Eukaryota; Metazoa; Arthropoda; Insecta; Coleoptera; Chrysomelidae.